AGCGAACGCUGGCGGCAGGCUUAACACAUGCAAGUCGAACGCAUCCUUCGGGGUGAGUGGCAGACGGGUGAGUAACGCGUGGGAACAUGCCCUUUGGUUCGGAAUAACUCAGGGAAACUUGAGCUAAUACCGGAUAAGCCCUUUUGGGGAAAGAUUUAUCGCCGAAGGAUUGGCCCGCGUCCGAUUAGCUAGUUGGUGAGGUAAUGGCUCACCAAGGCGACGAUCGGUAGCUGGUCUGAGAGGAUGAUCAGCCACACUGGGACUGAGACACGGCCCAGACUCCUACGGGAGGCAGCAGUGGGGAAUAUUGGACAAUGGGGGCAACCCUGAUCCAGCUAUGCCGCGUGAGUGAUGAAGGCCCUAGGGUUGUAAAGCUCUUUCGGCGGGGACGAUAAUGACGGUACCCGCAGAAGAAGCACUGGCUAACUCCGUGCCAGCCGCCGCGGUAA
Molecule: ribosomal RNA, 449 nt
Filed under: uncultured bacterium
Lineage: Bacteria
Description: partial 16S ribosomal RNA
Rfam family: Bacterial small subunit ribosomal RNA
Source: RNAcentral